RNAcentral lists this ribosomal RNA (270 nucleotides) under uncultured Anoxybacillus sp. RNAcentral describes it as "partial 16S ribosomal RNA". It matches the Rfam family "Bacterial small subunit ribosomal RNA", at positions 1111 to 1382 of the family's 1533-position model. Lineage: Bacteria; Bacillati; Bacillota; Bacilli; Caryophanales; Anoxybacillaceae. The record is from RNAcentral.
UUAGUUGCCAGCAUUCAGUUGGGCACUCUAAGGUGACUGCCGGCUAAAAAGUCGGAGGAAGGUGGGGAUGACGUCAAAUCAUCAUGCCCCUUAUGACCUGGGCUACACACGUGCUACAAUGGGCGGUACAAAGGGUCGCGAACCCGCAGGGGGAGCCAAUCCCAAAAAGCCGCUCUCAGUUCGGAUUGCAGGCUGCAACUCGCCUGCAUGAAGCCGGAAUCGCUAGUAAUCGCGGAUCAGCAUGCCGUGGUGAAUACGUUCCCGGGCCUU